RNAcentral lists this transfer RNA (88 nucleotides) under Synergistetes bacterium ADurb.Bin155. RNAcentral's name for it is "tRNA-Ser". It matches the Rfam family "tRNA". From Rfam's summary of the family: Transfer RNA (tRNA) molecules are approximately 80 nucleotides in length. Their secondary structure includes four short double-helical elements and three loops (D, anti-codon, and T loops). The record is from RNAcentral. RNAcentral also lists the same sequence under 4 other names. Lineage: Bacteria; Thermotogati; Synergistota.
GGAGAAGUGGCCGAGUGGUCGAAGGCGGGCGCUUGGAGAGCGUCUGGGCGGCGACGUCCCGGGGGUUCGAAUCCCUCCUUCUCCGCCA